Pelodiscus sinensis (Chinese soft-shelled turtle) is the source of this 929-nucleotide non-coding RNA. The record is from RefSeq and is a predicted model, not a curated record. NCBI's taxonomy places the organism in Eukaryota, Metazoa, Chordata, Testudines, Trionychidae.
CCAACUUACAAUAUCUACAAUAUUCUAUUUACAUAUACCCACACCCCCCAAAUAUCCAGAAAUCAAGAGGUCUUUAUUGUUCUUACAUCUCCAUUUAAUGUACAGUUUCAAGACUACUCUGAAUUCUUGUUUACUACACUAAACGCAUAGAGAAAUUCAUUGUAGAAUUUUCUUCCUCACUACCUACAAAUUGCCAUCUAAUUAGGAAGAAGCAUCUACGAUCAAAAUAAUUUCAGCCCUAUUUCUAAGUGUUAAAAUAGAAAUACAUAAAGAGCAAACUUGCUGGAAGUUAUUUUUUAAAAAAAGUUAAAAUUCAAGCAAAACACAUACUUGACAGUCACCUCAACCUGUUAAUUCCUAUUUGGGACAGUCAUCAGAAUUGUCGUAACCUCACUUCCUCAGACCGUCAGUCCUGAGUCAUCAAAAGAUUCACAAACCGUGACUAGCGCAGACUAGGCACCCCUGACUGCGAGGCUGAAGAUGGGCUCCAACAGUGGCAAACAGCUUGAUCGUGGGAACAUCCCAGGCUAUGCAGAACUGAAAGACAUCCAUCUUCAGAAUCGUUCAUGACUUUGGGAGAAAUUCCUAUUGAGAGAGUCCGUGACAUGAUUCUGCAUCGUGGGCAAGUGGACAACUACUGAAGCAAUGUUCUUCAUGAUACAAAACUGUCACUGAUUGACUGUCUCUGGCUAUAACCUUUAGAAGUUACUACAAUGCAACUGUCCUUUUAAAUGAAGAUUUUGCCUCUGAAUUGUCCUCUCAUCAACUCCAGAAUAAGUAGACUACAACUCAUUCUACAUGUGUAUGAAGUGGUGAAACCUCCUCCUUCAGAAGUGUGUUCUGCAGUAAAAAGGAUACCAUUUACUCCAGAAUAUUUCUUUUUCCAGCACCAGUUUUCUGUCUACUGUGAGUAUGGCAGUCACACUAAG